This 225-nucleotide ribosomal RNA is filed under the name uncultured bacterium. RNAcentral's name for it is "partial 16S ribosomal RNA". It matches the Rfam family "Bacterial small subunit ribosomal RNA", at positions 116 to 334 of the family's 1533-position model. The record is from RNAcentral.
CGUGGGUAACCUGCCCAUCAGAGGGGGAUAACAUUCGGAAACGGAUGCUAAAACCGCAUAGGUCCUUUAACCGCAUGGUUGAAGGAGGAAAAGAGGCGCAAGCUUCUGCUGAUGGAUGGACCCGCGGUGCAUUAGCUAGUUGGUGAGGUAACGGCUCACCAAGGCCGUGAUGCAUAGCCGACCUGAGAGGGUGAUCGGCCACAUUGGGACUGAGACACGGCCCAA